Molecule: long non-coding RNA, 209 nt
Filed under: Physcomitrium patens
Lineage: Eukaryota; Viridiplantae; Streptophyta; Bryopsida; Funariales; Funariaceae
Description: long non-coding RNA (PPAT_LNC011942)
Source: RNAcentral
ACAUUAAUUCAGAUGCUAGCAAUUGAGACUCUCCAUGAUAUUAUACCGGGUACAUUUAUAGAACAAUCUGGUCCUGGUCUUUUCCAAUUAUCAAUGUGCCUCGGUCCCAAUCAUUCUUAGCUUUGGCUUAAUAAAGCCAAGGUCUGCCCAAUAAAAUGAAAUAUGAUAAGGUAGAACUCUGUAAUUGAAAUACAAAAUAAUCAAUUUUG